UACGUAGGUGGCUAGCGUUGUCCGGAUUUACUGGGCGUAAAGAGCGCGCAGGCGGUCGUUCAAGUCGAGUGUGAAAGCCCCCGGCUCAACUGGGGAGGGUCACGCGAUACUGUUCGACUCGAAGGCAGGAGAGGGAAGCAGAAUUCCCGGUGUAGUGGUGAAAUGCGUAGAUAUCGGGAGGAAUACCAGUGGCGAAGGCGGCUUCCUGGCCUGUUCUUGACGCUGAGGCGCGAAAGCUAGGGUAGCAAACGGG
RNAcentral lists this ribosomal RNA (253 nucleotides) under uncultured bacterium. RNAcentral's name for it is "partial 16S ribosomal RNA". It matches the Rfam family "Bacterial small subunit ribosomal RNA", at positions 524 to 776 of the family's 1533-position model. The record is from RNAcentral.